This 352-nucleotide long non-coding RNA is filed under the name Eucalyptus grandis. Its description in RNAcentral is "long non-coding RNA (EGRA_LNC004316)". The record is from RNAcentral. Lineage: Eukaryota; Viridiplantae; Streptophyta; Magnoliopsida; Myrtales; Myrtaceae.
ACAAUGAGUAUUUGGCCGACUAAGAGUAGGACAACCAGCUCAUGCACUGCGAGCAUGACAAAGGGGUAGCUUCGGUCGACCGCACGUGACGCCAGAAGCAGUGGGGAUGCUGGCUGAACGGGGUGGUGCUCCAUGAUGAAGGAGGAAGCAUUGACGACCAUGAAAGACAACCAGAUUUGCAGAGAAAGGAGGAAGAAGAGAAAAAACAAUUUUUUUUUAUUCCAUCUUAUCUUACACUUGUUGAUUGGUUAUUGGGCUUAAGUAAAACAACACGUCACGUCAGCAAUUGACUGGCUGUUGACAACCACUGAAUAUUGUCUCCCCUUCCUCUUCCUUUGCUGCAAGAGCGUGC